UUUCAGUUUGAACCGCCGUGU
Non-coding RNA from Caenorhabditis elegans, 21 nucleotides. The record is from Ensembl. NCBI's taxonomy places the organism in Eukaryota, Metazoa, Nematoda, Chromadorea, Rhabditida, Rhabditidae.